This 539-nucleotide long non-coding RNA is filed under the name Mus musculus (house mouse). RNAcentral's name for it is "long non-coding RNA chr5:122253001-122253540". Lineage: Eukaryota; Metazoa; Chordata; Mammalia; Rodentia; Muridae. The record is from RNAcentral.
AUGUCUGGAAGGCUGUGGUGCAAGGCCAUUUUUGCUGGCUACAAGCGAGGUCUCUGGAACCAAAGAGAGCACGCAGCUCUUCUUAAAAUUGAAGGCGUUGAUGCCCGAGAUGAAAUGGGAUUCUACUUAUCUACUUAGGCAAGAGAUGCUUUCAUGCAUAUAAAGCAAAAACAAUACAGUGGCCGGGCAGUGGUGGUGCAUGCCUGUAAUCCCAGCACGCGGGAGGCAGAUUUCUGAGUUCGAGGCCAGCCUGGUCUACAAAGUGAGUUCCAGGACAGCCAGGGCUAUACAGAGAAACCCUGUCUCGAAAAAACAAAACAAAAAAAAAAACCAAAAACCAAAAAACCAACCAAACAAACAAACAAACAAAAAAAUAUAGUGGCUCCUGGAGGCAAACCAAACAAACCCAGAGUGAUCUGGGGAAAAGUAACUCGGGCCCACGGAAACGGUGGUAUGAUUCACGCCAAAUUCCGAAGCAACUUCCUGCGAAGGCCCUUGGACACAGAAUCCGUGUGAUGCCGUACCCAUCCCAGAUUUAA